RNAcentral lists this ribosomal RNA (1125 nucleotides) under Lacticaseibacillus rhamnosus. RNAcentral's name for it is "bacterial SSU rRNA". It matches the Rfam family "Bacterial small subunit ribosomal RNA", at positions 305 to 1408 of the family's 1533-position model. Lineage: Bacteria; Bacillati; Bacillota; Bacilli; Lactobacillales; Lactobacillaceae. The record is from RNAcentral.
CCGGCCCAUGACUCGAGAAACCGCCCGCUCCUUUACCGGGAGGCAGCAGUAGCUGGAUCUUCCACAAAUGGAAGCCAGUCUGAUGAGCAACGCCCGCGUGAGUGAGAAAGGCUUCCGCGUCGUAAAACUCUGUUGUUGAGAAGAAUUCCGAGUCGGCAGAAGUGAACUGUUGUCGGCCGUGACGGUAUCCUAACAGAAAAACACGGCUAACUACGUGUCCAGCAGCCGCGGUAAUACGUAGUGUGGCAAGCGUGUAUCCGGAUUUAUUGGGCGUAAAGCGAGCGCAGGCGGUUUUUACUUAAGUCUGAUGUGAAAGCCCUCGGCUUACGAGGAAGUGCAUCUGAAACUGGGAAACUUGAGUGCAGAAGAGGACAGUGGAACUCCAUGUGUAGCGGUGAAAUGCGUAGAUAUAUGGAAGAACACCAGUGGCGAACCAGGCGGCUGUCUGGUCUGUAGACUGACGCUGAGGCUCGAAAGGGAUCAUGGGUAGCGAACAGGAUUAGAUACCCUGGUAGUCCAUGCCGUAAACGAUGAAUGCUAGGUGUGUGGAGGGUUUCCGCCCCUCAGUGCCGCAGCUAACGCAUUAAGGUCAUUCCGCCUGGGGAGUACGACCGCAAGGUUGAAACUCAAAGGAAUUGACGGGGGGCCGCCAAGCGGUGGAGCAUGUGGUUUACGAUUUGAAGCAACGCGAAGAACCUUUCCAGGUCUUGACAUCUUUUGAUCCCCCGAGAGAUCAGGUUUCUCCUUUUGGGGCAAAUAACAGGUGGUGCAUGGUGGUCGUCAGCUCGUGUCGUGAGAUGUUGGGUUAAGUCCCGCAACGAGCGCAACCCCUAUGACUAGUUGCCAGCAUUUAGUUGGGCACUCUAGUAAGACUGCCGGUGACAAACCGGAGGAAGGUGGGGAGGACGUCAAAUCAUCAUGCCCCCUAUGACCUGGGGUACACACGUGCUUACCCAUCUUACUUUUAUUCACCGGCUGCUGGCUAGCCACAAUUUAUAUCCGCCGGCUGUUCUUUUCUUGGAUUGAACUCUCCUACACGAAGUCGGAAUAGCUAGUAAUAGCGGAUCAGCACGCCGCGGUGAAUACGUUCCCCGGCCUCGUACACACCCCCCCUCACACCACGAG